CGAGCUGCUUCUUCGUUUCAAAUACAUUUGGCGCCGCUGCCUAUUGUUUGAGCCUGUGCUCACGAUGAAAACACGCAUCGCAGAAACCUGAAAGCCCGCCAAAAGAGCUCUAAAAACCGCAUCCCAGACCUGCCGGCAGACUUCCGAGCUAAGCCUGAUUAAACAAAAACGUUUGAUCCGGCGGAAUAAUGUGUUUGAUAUUACAUCCCAUGUCAACAAGGAACUGCGCUGUCUGUCUUCGCCCCCAACAGGUUUUAUUCUUCCGGGUUUUUCAAAUCUUUACCAACCCGCGUCCGAUCGUAAUACCCCGAUCACAACAAAUAGUUGAUCGUGCUCCGAUGGCUCCAAACAUCAGCCGGCAAGGAAGUUACGUUUUUCGCUUCUAUAUUUUGACCCAAGUGAUGGCUGGUCGUGGUUCAUCAGCGUUUGUUUUGAAACUGAUGGGUACCACAAGGCAUGAAGGAGGUGACUUGCAGCAGCAAGGCACUGCAAGCCUUCGCAGCAACUGGCUAGCCAGUGCUGCUCUGUUCUGAACUGCACUGCGUGUCAUGCGGAGGUUUUGUGCAAGCUCUCUGGGCGGCGACGCUAGCCACGAUUGGCUUCGUGGAUGCACAGAAAUACUCAAGGCGCUUGACGUCUGUGGCUCAUCUGUAUUGUUUUUCCCGGUACCACGGCAUGAAGGAGCUGGCCUCCCUCCCUUCCAUCAGCUGCGAGAUACUACAAGCACUGGGCUACAGCUGCAGCUAGCCCAUGGGUACCGUUCUGCGUCCUGUACUGCAUCUAGUUCGAAAGGCCAUGUGAAAGGCAGGUACCGGGGACCAUGACAUCAGUGAGCUGGCUUUCACCUUGUCCAAGGCAGCAGCGGAACACUACGGGCGGGACCCUGGAUCACUGCACCAUGGAUGCCGUCCUGUACCCUGCACGGCACUGCGUGUGGCUUAAGUGGCCAAGCAGAGGGUCAUUGCAUGACUUUUAUGAGGCGCCGCUAGCCAUUGUUUCAAACCGUCCUGAAUCACGGACCAAGCCUUGCAAGACCUCACUCUUAUGCCCUCUCCUUUUUGGUGGAUCGGGUCUUGCCAUCUUCCCCUCUCGUGGCUCCCUGUCAUAAAUAAAUUGUAUAUUUUUCUGA
This 1129-nucleotide unclassified non-coding RNA is filed under the name Ixodes scapularis (black-legged tick). RNAcentral's name for it is "uncharacterized LOC120846588, transcript variant X5". Lineage: Eukaryota; Metazoa; Arthropoda; Arachnida; Ixodida; Ixodidae. The record is from RNAcentral.